Molecule: ribosomal RNA, 466 nt
Filed under: uncultured Glomus
Lineage: Eukaryota; Fungi; Glomeromycota; Glomeromycetes; Glomerales; Glomeraceae
Description: SSU rRNA
Rfam family: Eukaryotic small subunit ribosomal RNA
Source: RNAcentral
UUAAAGUUGUUGCAGUUAAAAAGCUCGUAGUUGAAUUUCGGGGUCAGUAGGUUGGUCGUGCCACCGGUACGUACUGGUCUCACUGAUUCCUCCUUCCUGAUGAGCCGUAAUGCCAUUAAUUUGGUGUUGCAGGGAAUCUGGACUGUUACUUUGAAAAAAUUAGAGUGUUUAAAGCAGGCUAACGCUUGAAUACAUUAGCAUGGAAUAAUGAAAUAGGACGUUCGAUCCUAUUUUGUUGGUUUCUAGGAUUGACGUAAUGAUUAAUAGGGAUAGUUGGGGGCAUUAGUAUUCAAUUGUCAGAGGUGAAAUUCUUGGAUUUAUUGAAGACUAACUACUGCGAAAGCAUUUGCCAAGGAUGUUUUCAUUAAUCAAGAACGAAAGUUAGGGGAUCGAAGACGAUCAGAUACCGUCGUAGUCUUAACCAUAAACUAUGCCGACUAGGGAUCGGAUGAUGUUAAUUUUUUAA